UAAGGAAUAUUGGACAAUGGGCGCAAGCCUGAUCCAGCCAUCCCGCGUGCAGGAAGACGGCCCUACGGGUUGUAAACUGCUUUUGUACAGGAAGAAACCCCUGGAUUUAUCUGGGGCUGACGGUACUGUAAGAAUAAGCACCGGCUAACUCCGUGCCAGCAGCCGCGGUAAUACGGAGGGUGCAAGCGUUAUCCGGAAUCACUGGGUUUAAAGGGUGCGUAGGUGGAUACAUAAGUCAGAGGUGAAAGACUUGAGCUUAACUGAAGAAUUGCCUUUGAUACUGUGUAUCUUGAAUCAGGUUGAGGUUAGCGGAAUGUGACAUGUAGCGGUGAAAUGCAUAGAUAUGUCAUAGAACACCAAUUGCGAAGGCAGCUAGCUAGGCCUGUAUUGACACUGAGGCACGAAAGCAUGGGUAGCGAACAGGAUUAGAUACCCCCGUAGUCC
This 444-nucleotide ribosomal RNA is filed under the name uncultured prokaryote. RNAcentral's name for it is "bacterial SSU rRNA". It matches the Rfam family "Bacterial small subunit ribosomal RNA", at positions 355 to 796 of the family's 1533-position model. The record is from RNAcentral.